AGUCAUUUUCUUUCUUUCUCUCUGGAAGAAGAACGGAGGAGGACGCAUGGAGCCUACGUGCGCUCUCACCAACAUUAAUUACUUGUUGAAUUUCCCGUUUAUUCAACAGUUGGAUGGAGACUAAUGGUUCCAGACAUUCAUACAGGCUUAUUUGUUUCACUCAAGGUUCUGUGUCUUUCAGGGAUAGAUGGUGCUGGAUGCGUUACUGUGGUACCGAGACUUGAUGGGCUGGCAGGAUGCUGAAGACGCUGUAGGAGGAUCAUCUAGUCUUUUGAUUUGAUUGGCUAGCAUGUAGACUGAAGAAGUAAAUCUUGCCCUGUGAUUGAUGGUCCAGUAUAAAGAUCUAAAUCUCAGCCCUAUGGUUUGUUGGACCUGCAGUAGAUGAGUGUCUUAUGGUGAGUUUCUUCCUGGUUUGAGGUGUCAACUUAGAACUGUUCAGCCAUUUUACUGGAAUUGUGAUGCCUUUUCUGCUGAUUUACCCUUCUGAAAAGCCAUUCAUCUGAAUUACCAGCACUAUAAAUAAACUAUUGUAGAAAGUUAAAGUAAUUUUGUUGCCAGCAAAUCUAAUUUAACCUUUUAUUUAUCUAGGCAUUUGUCUUAAUGAUUACAGUUGAUUAUCAAUUAAGAAACUGGUAAUUUACUUUAGCUGUGUUUGACUAUUGACACAAUCCUCAAGGUUUGGAAGGUGGCUCAUGUACUCAAGUUAACCCGUGACACCUAAAUAUCCUUUGCCCCUUUUCAAAACUUUCUUGCCUGGCAAAAAAA
Salvelinus sp. IW2-2015 is the source of this 765-nucleotide long non-coding RNA. RefSeq lists it as uncharacterized. The record is from RefSeq and is a predicted model, not a curated record. Lineage: Eukaryota; Metazoa; Chordata; Actinopteri; Salmoniformes; Salmonidae.